GUGACCUCNAAUCAGGUAGGACUACCCGCUGAACUUAAGCAUAUCANUAAGCGGAGGAAAAGAAACUAACA
This 71-nucleotide ribosomal RNA is filed under the name Cortinarius sp. KGP43. RNAcentral's name for it is "partial 28S ribosomal RNA". It matches the Rfam family "Eukaryotic large subunit ribosomal RNA", at positions 1 to 70 of the family's 3401-position model. The record is from RNAcentral. Lineage: Eukaryota; Fungi; Basidiomycota; Agaricomycetes; Agaricales; Cortinariaceae.